Molecule: small nucleolar RNA, 66 nt
Organism: Ornithorhynchus anatinus (platypus)
Lineage: Eukaryota; Metazoa; Chordata; Mammalia; Monotremata; Ornithorhynchidae
Product: small nucleolar RNA SNORD37
Exons: 1
Source: RefSeq, a predicted model, not a curated record
CCACAUGAUGAUUAAACAUUUCUUCACUUUGACCUGAUGUCUACUGAAGAAAUCCAGUAUCUGACA